AGUUCAAUAUCUCCUCCACUAUACGGUGUGGCUCUAUGACUGGGAAAGCAAGCCUACUGAGGAAUGGUUCUCAACAACUUAAUUGGUAUUACAAUACACAGUAAGAUGCCUUUCACCGUCGAGAGUUAUUGGUAUUAAUUACUAGCAGAUUAAGCCUAACUUUAGCUCUGUUGAUUGAAGGUUCAUGAAUUAAAAAUGUCACCGACUACUGAUUUUCUGGAAACCAAGUUCGGGCAAUGCGUCCUUUGUUCAUUUGGCUCAAUAUAAACUGGCGACUUCAUCACAAACGAAUCCUUUAUCCAGCCUUCCCAAUACACUUUUUUGGAGAGCAUUUUGAGGAUAAAGGGUGGUUUUUCAUCAUUAGCCUUCCUCUGGCGUUUUGAGUUUUAUAGUAUUUGUGGGUCUCAAAAUUUUGGGUGAAAUAUGGUGUAAUCUAGCUCACCCAACAAUGACAAUCAAUGCAUUUUAGGUGUGGAAAAAUGUCUCUACUUAAUUGGAUUUUAGUUCGUUCACCGGUGGACCUGAGAGAAGGAUAAA
RNAcentral lists this long non-coding RNA (537 nucleotides) under Eucalyptus grandis. RNAcentral describes it as "long non-coding RNA (EGRA_LNC005313)". Lineage: Eukaryota; Viridiplantae; Streptophyta; Magnoliopsida; Myrtales; Myrtaceae. The record is from RNAcentral.